GGAGUUAGGAAAUGUAAGUUUGAGAAUACCAAAUUUACUUGACAAAAGCUCCAAAGGAAGCCACGGCUAACUCUGUGCCAGCAGCCGCGGUAAUACAGAGGUGGCGAGCGUUGUUCGGAAUUAUUGGGCGUAAAGAGCACGUAGGUGGAUUUGUAAGUCAGAUGUGAAAGCCUUCUGUUCAACGGAAGAAUUGCAUCUGAAACUACAAACCUUGAGUAUAGGAGGGGAGAGUGGAACUUCUG
Molecule: ribosomal RNA, 242 nt
Filed under: uncultured Planctomycetales bacterium
Lineage: Bacteria; Pseudomonadati; Planctomycetota; Planctomycetia; Planctomycetales
Description: partial 16S ribosomal RNA
Rfam family: Bacterial small subunit ribosomal RNA
Source: RNAcentral